RNAcentral lists this long non-coding RNA (403 nucleotides) under Homo sapiens (human). RNAcentral describes it as "non-protein coding LINC01442:2". The record is from RNAcentral. Lineage: Eukaryota; Metazoa; Chordata; Mammalia; Primates; Hominidae.
GAAAAUCUUGGCAUAGAUAUGGAAUAAAUAUUAAUGUCUCCAAAAUCUUCUCAAAAUUUAUACUAUGGCACAAACAAGUUAAAUGUAGGUCUCUUCCUCACCAUCUAUCUUAGGUCUCUUUCUCAUAUUUUCCUCCAAUCUCUACUGCUGGGAAGGCGAGGGACAUGGAGGGGAGAGAUCACCUCAAGUAGGCACAGGCUGGAAAAUUCAAGAUCAAGGCACUAUCAGGUUUGGUGUCUGGUGAGGGUGUGGUCUCCACUUCCAAGAUGGCACCUUGAACCUUGCAUCAGGGAAGAGGGAGGGAGCACUGUGUCCUCACAUGGCAGAAGGCAGAGGGCAAAAAAGGACUAACCUCCCUCCAUCAGGCCCAUUUAUAAUGGCAUCGAUCCAUUCACGAGGGUGG